UACGUAGGUGGCAAGCGUUUGUCCGGAAUUAUUGGGCGUAAAGCGCGCGCAGGCGGUCUCUUAAGUCUGAUGUGAAAGCCCCCCGGCUCAACCGGGGAGGGCCAUUGGAAACUGGGAGGCUUGAGUAUAGGAGAGAAGAGUGGAAUUCCACGUGUAGCGGUGAAAUGCGUAGAGAUGUGGAGGAACACCAGUGGCGAAGGCGACUCUUUGGCCUAUAACUGACGCUGAGGCGCGAAAAGCGUGGGGAGCAAACAGGG
This 257-nucleotide ribosomal RNA is filed under the name uncultured bacterium. RNAcentral's name for it is "partial 16S ribosomal RNA". It matches the Rfam family "Bacterial small subunit ribosomal RNA", at positions 524 to 777 of the family's 1533-position model. The record is from RNAcentral.